GAUGAACGCUAGCUACAGGCUUAACACAUGCAAGUCGAACGGAACUUACCGAAUGAAGUCUUCGGAUGGAUUUUGAUAAGUUUAGUGGCGGACGGGUGAGUAACGCGUGAGUAACCUGCCUUCAAGAGGGGAAUAACGUUCUGAAAAGAACGCUAAUACCGCAUAACAUACGGAUGUCGCAUGGCAACCGUAUCAAAGAUUUUAUCGCUUGAAGAUGGACUCGCGUCCGAUUAGCCAGUUGGCGGGGUAACGGCCCACCAAAGCGACGAUCGGUAGCCGGACUGAGAGGUUGAACGGCCACAUUGGGACUGAGACACGGCCCAG
Molecule: ribosomal RNA, 324 nt
Filed under: uncultured bacterium
Lineage: Bacteria
Description: bacterial SSU rRNA
Rfam family: Bacterial small subunit ribosomal RNA
Source: RNAcentral